CCUAGGGGAGGCAGCAGUGGGGAAUAUUGCACAAUGGGGGAAACCCUGAUGCAGCGACGCCGCGUGAGCGAGGAAGGAUUUCGGUAUGUAAAGCUCUUUCAGCAGGGACGAAAAAAGACGGUACCUUACUAAGAAGCCCCGGCUAAAUACGUGCCAGCAGCCGCGGUAAUACGUAGGGGGCAAGCGUUAUCCGGAUUGACUGGGUGUAAAGGGAGCGUAGACGGGAAGGCAAGCCAGAAGUGAAAGGGCAGGGCUCAACCCUGUACAUGCAUUUGGAAUUGUGGUGCUAGAGUGAAGGAGGGGUAAGUGGAAUUCCUGGUGUAGCGGUGAAAUGCGUAGAUAUUAGGAGGAACACCAGUGGCGAAGGCGGCUUACUGGACUGUAACUGACGUUGAGGCUCGAAGGCGUGGGGAGCAAACGGGAUUAGAUACCCCUGUAGUC
Molecule: ribosomal RNA, 441 nt
Filed under: uncultured bacterium
Lineage: Bacteria
Description: partial 16S ribosomal RNA
Rfam family: Bacterial small subunit ribosomal RNA
Source: RNAcentral